CUGCUCUCUGCCAGGGGUUUUUCUAGUCUCAGCUACAGGGCUUGUCUCUGCCAACUACACUUAGGAUGAGACUUAACUCCUUCAUAUCCAGAUAUCUCUAUACUGUUUAUUCCCCAAUCUCAUUUCAUCACACCAGCAAAUAGAUGUUCAAGAUGGACCACAACAUUUUGAACCUGAAUGCCCUGUUGGUAUAGUGAUGUGACUGAGAAUGCCAUGCUGGUGAGGAGCUGGGUUGGUAGUACUGAUAUCUUGCUUCCCCCCCACCAAAUCUUAGUCACUAGCCUUUGGAUAUGGUGCAAAUCAUUAUAGGAAACCUUCAAGGAAAUUUUGAUCCAGGAAGAAAUACCUGAAGAGAUAAUGAUCAGGUACCUGUUGAAAAAUUUUAUUGCAUGCCCGUAAUAAGAGUAACUCUCUUGUAAUCGUAAAUCACACAUACGCUUAAAUGACAAGGAAAUAAACAGAAUAAGCAUUGGCCCAAGACACAAGAGUAAAAAAAAAAUUCCAAUGGCCAAGAAAAAUAUGCUGUGAGACUGAAUAUAAAUGGAGGUGUUUCCUCUGCUAUUUUAUGUGGGCACCUACAGGAGGAGGGUGAGGAAGAGAUUCUCUGCUCAGGUUUUCAGCGAAUGUGGUUUGAGCUGCUGACAUAUUGGGAUGGGUCAGACAGACACUGGGGCCUCUUCCUGCUAUUUCAGGCAGGACUGGGGACUGUGUAGCACCUGAGGCAAGCAACCUCCAGCUCACAUCCAUGUGAACAAUCCCUACCAUAUGAAGACUGAUGACAGCAGCAGUGAUAGAACAGCACUCACAUAAAAUGGACUCAUGUGAUGUUUGCUUAAACCAGAGAAUCUAUGUACACUUGACAGCAGAAACCAAUUAAAACUUUAUACUAGA
Molecule: long non-coding RNA, 891 nt
Organism: Hemicordylus capensis (graceful crag lizard)
Lineage: Eukaryota; Metazoa; Chordata; Lepidosauria; Squamata; Cordylidae
Exons: 2
Source: RefSeq, a predicted model, not a curated record